This 292-nucleotide ribosomal RNA is filed under the name uncultured bacterium. RNAcentral's name for it is "partial 16S ribosomal RNA". It matches the Rfam family "Archaeal small subunit ribosomal RNA", at positions 455 to 747 of the family's 1478-position model. The record is from RNAcentral.
GUGCCAGCGCCGCGGUAACACCGGCAGCCCAAGUGAUGGCCGAUAUUAUUGGGCCUAAAGCGUCCGUAGCUGGCCGCGCAAGUUCGUCGGGAAAUCCACUCGCUUAACGAGUGGGCGUCCGGCGAAAACUGUGCGGCUUGGGACCGGAAGAUCCAAGGGGUACGUCCGGGGUAGGAGUGAAAUCCUGUAAUCCUGGACGGACCGCCGGUGGCGAAAGCGCCUCGGGAGGACGGACCCGACGGUGAGGGACGAAAGCCAGGGUCUCGAACCGGAUUAGAAACCCGUGUAGUCC